RNAcentral lists this ribosomal RNA (456 nucleotides) under uncultured bacterium. RNAcentral's name for it is "bacterial SSU rRNA". It matches the Rfam family "Bacterial small subunit ribosomal RNA", at positions 8 to 507 of the family's 1533-position model. The record is from RNAcentral.
AGAGUUUGAUCCUGGCCUACAGAACGAACGCUGGCGGCAUGCCUAACACAUGCAAGUCGAACGAGACCUUCGGGUCUAGUGGCGCACGGGUGCGUAACGCGUGGGAAUCUGCCCUUGGGUUCGGAAUAACAGUUAGAAAUGACUACUAAUACCGGAUAAUGUCUUCGGACCAAAGAUUUAUCGCCCAGGGAUGAGCCCGCGUAGGAUUAGCUAGUUGGUGAGGUAAAAGGCUCACCAAGGCGACGAUCCUUAGCUGGUCUGAGAGGAUGAUCAGCCACACUGGGACUGAGACACGGCCCAGACUCCUACGGGAGGCAGCAGUGGGGAAUAUUGGACAAUGGGCGAAAGCCUGAUCCAGCAAUGCCGCGUGAGUGAUGAAGGCCUUAGGGUUGUAAAGCUCUUUUACCCGGGAUGAUAAUGACAGUACCGGGAGAAUAAGCCCCGGCUAACUCCGUG